Non-coding RNA from Schistosoma margrebowiei, 45 nucleotides. The record is from Rfam. Lineage: Eukaryota; Metazoa; Platyhelminthes; Trematoda; Strigeidida; Schistosomatidae.
AUUCAGCCGACGAGUCUGAAAUAGGACGAAAUGCGCGUCCUGGAU